RNAcentral lists this ribosomal RNA (1169 nucleotides) under Salmonella enterica. Its description in RNAcentral is "partial 23S ribosomal RNA". It matches the Rfam family "Bacterial large subunit ribosomal RNA", at positions 1 to 1211 of the family's 2925-position model. The record is from RNAcentral. Lineage: Bacteria; Pseudomonadati; Pseudomonadota; Gammaproteobacteria; Enterobacterales; Enterobacteriaceae. RNAcentral also lists the same sequence under 1 other name.
GGUUAAGCGACUAAGCGUACACGGUGGAUGCCCUGGCAGUCAGAGGCGAUGAAGGGCGUGCUAAUCUGCGAUAAGCGCCGGUAAGGUGAUAUGAACCGUUAUAACCGGCGAUACCCGAAUGGGGAAACCCAGUGUGAUUCGUCACACUAUCAUUACGUGAAUACAUAGCGUAAUGAAGCGAACCGGGGGAACUGAAACAUCUAAGUACCCCGAGGAAAAGAAAUCAACCGAGAUUCCCCCAGUAGCGGCGAGCGAACGGGGAGGAGCCCAGAGCCUGAAUCAGCAUGUGUGUUAGUGGAAGCGUCUGGAAAGGCGCGCGAUACAGGGUGACAGCCCCGUACACAAAAGCGCAUGUGUUGUGAGCUCGAUGAGUAGGGCGGGACACGUGGUAUCCUGUCUGAAUAUGGGGGGACCAUCCUCCAAGGCUAAAUACUCCUGACUGACCGAUAGUGAACCAGUACCGUGAGGGAAAGGCGAAAAGAACCCCGGCGAGGGGAGUGAAAAAGAACCUGAAACCGUGUACGUACAAGCAGUGGGAGCACCCUUUGGGGUGUGACUGCGUACCUUUUGUAUAAUGGGUCAGCGACUUAUAUUCUGUAGCAAGGUUAACCGAAUAGGGGAGCCGGAGGGAAACCGAGUCUUAAUUGGGCGUUAAGUUGCAGGGUAUAGACCCGAAACCCGGUGAUCUAGCCAUGGGCAGGUUGAAGGUUGGGUAACACUAACUGGAGGACCGAACCGACUAAUGUUGAAAAAUUAGCGGAUGACCUGUGGCUGGGGGUGAAAGGCCAAUCAAACCGGGAGAUAGCUGGUUCUCCCCGAAAGCUAUUUAGGUAGCGCCUCGUGAACUCAUCUCCGGGGGUAGAGCACUGUUUCGGCUAGGGGGCCAUCCCGGCUUACCAACCCGAUGCAAACUGCGAAUACCGGAGAAUGUUAUCACGGGAGACACACGGCGGGUGCUAACGUCCGUCGUGAAGAGGGAAACAACCCAGACCGCCAGCUAAGGUCCCAAAGUCAUAGUUAAGUGGGAAACGAUGUGGGAAGGCCCAGACAGCCAGGAUGUUGGCUUAGAAGCAGCCAUCAUUUAAAGAAAGCGUAAUAGCUCACUGGUCGAGUCGGCCUGCGCGGAAGAUGUAACGGGGCUAAACUAUGCACCGAAGCUGCGGCAGCGA